GAAGGCCUUUCGGGUUGUAAAGCACUUUCCGUUCGUGAGGAAGGUGGUGUAGUUAAUAGCUGCAUUAUUUGACGUUAGCGACAGAAGAAGCACCGGCUAAUUCCGUGCCAGCAGCCGCGGUAAUACGGAGGGUGCGAGCGUUAAUCGGAAUUACUGGGCGUAAAGCGCAUGCAGGUGGUUUGUUAAGUCAGAUGUGAAAGCCCGGGGCUCAACCUCGGAAUAGCAUUUGAAACUGGCAGACUAGAGUACUGUAGAGGGGGGUAGAAUUUCAGGUGUAGCGGUGAAAUGCGUAGAGAUCUGAAGGAAUACCGGUGGCGAAGGCGGCCCCCUGGACAGAUACUGACACUCAGAUGCGAAAGCGUGGGGAGCAAACAGGAUUAGAUACCCUGGUAGUCCACGCCGUAAACGAUGUCUACUUGGAGGUUGUGGCCUUGAGCCGUGGCUUUCGGAGCUAACGCGUUAAGUAGACCGCCUGGGGAGUACGGUCGCAAGAUUAAAACUCAAAUGAAUUGACGGGGGCCCGCACAAGCGGUGGAGCAUGUGGUUUAAUUCGAUGCAACGCGAAGAACCUUACCUACUCUUGACAUCCAGAGAACUUUCCAGAGAUGGAUUGGUGCCUUCGGGAACUCUGAGACAGGUGCUGCAUGGCUGUCGUCAGCUCGUGUUGUGAAAUGUUUGGGUUAAGUCCCGCAACGAGCGCAACCCUUAUCCUUGUUUGCCACCGAGUAAAGGUCGGGGAACUCCCC
RNAcentral lists this ribosomal RNA (746 nucleotides) under Vibrio alginolyticus. Its description in RNAcentral is "bacterial SSU rRNA". It matches the Rfam family "Bacterial small subunit ribosomal RNA", at positions 410 to 1143 of the family's 1533-position model. Lineage: Bacteria; Pseudomonadati; Pseudomonadota; Gammaproteobacteria; Vibrionales; Vibrionaceae. The record is from RNAcentral.